This 253-nucleotide ribosomal RNA is filed under the name uncultured bacterium. RNAcentral's name for it is "partial 16S ribosomal RNA". It matches the Rfam family "Bacterial small subunit ribosomal RNA", at positions 524 to 776 of the family's 1533-position model. The record is from RNAcentral.
UACGUAGGGUGCGAGCGUUGUCCGGAAUUACUGGGCGUAAAGAGCUCGUAGGUGGUUUGUCGCGUUGUUCGUGAAAACCGGGGGCUUAACCCUCGGCGUGCGGGCGAUACGGGCAGACUGGAGUACUGCAGGGGAGACUGGAAUUCCUGGUGUAGCGGUGGAAUGCGCAGAUAUCAGGAGGAACACCGGUGGCGAAGGCGGGUCUCUGGGCAGUAACUGACGCUGAGGAGCGAAAGCGCGGGGAGCGAACGGG